Long non-coding RNA from Alligator sinensis (Chinese alligator), 2470 nucleotides. RefSeq lists it as uncharacterized. The transcript is spliced from 3 exons. Lineage: Eukaryota; Metazoa; Chordata; Crocodylia; Alligatoridae. The record is from RefSeq and is a predicted model, not a curated record.
AGCUCACUGGCCAAGUUCAGGGACGACACCAAGUUACGGUGAAGCGUGGUCACACUUGAAGGUAGGCUACAGUUACAGGCAGAUCUAGACAGGCUGGCAAGUUGGCAGACGGGAAUCUGGUGAAAUUGAACGUUGAGAAAUGUCAAGUGUUCUACUUUGGGAUGAGCAACCCCAACACACCUACGGGCUUGGUGGCGCCAAACUGACCAGCACCACAAAUGAAAGGGACCUGGGGGUAAUAACAGACCACAGGAUGAACAUGAGCCGGCAGUGCAAUGCUGUAGCCAGUAGGGCAAAUAAUACUCUGGCGUGCAUCAACCCACGCGUCUUCAGCAAAACCAGGGAGGCGAUUCUGCUCUACUCAGCACUGGUGAGACCGCAGCUGGAGCGCUGCGUCCAGGUCUGGGCACCGCACUUCAACGAGGUCAUGGACAAGCUUGAGACACUCCAGAGAAGAGCCGCCUGUAUGAUCAGAGUCUUACACGGCAAGUCAUAUGAGGAAAGGCUGAAGGAUCUCGGACUCUUCUGCCAGAGGAAAAGAGAUGGCUGAGAGGGGACCUAGUAGCAGGUUACGGCUACACUAGGGAAUAUAUCAGGGGCUCGGUGAGUAACUGUUCACCAGCGCAGCUGAAGGGAAAACCAGGAGUAAUGGCCACAAACUCCUGGAAGAUUGAUUCUGGCUCAACAUCAAGAAAAACUUCACAGCUAGGGUGUCCAGACUGGAAUAAGCUCCCUCCAGAGGUGGUGCAAUCACCUACCCUGGACAUCUUCAAGAGGAGACUGGAUGGUCACCUUGGCGGCAGUCGCCUGACCCCCAGUUAUCUUUCCUGCUUGGUGCAGGGGGACUGGACCCAAUGAUCUUGCAAGGUCCCUUCUGGCCUUCCAAUCUAUGAAUCCAUCCCUCCAUCUCCAUACACUUUCUUCCAUCCUUCUAUACAGCUGUUCCCACACACUCUCCCAUCCCUCCCCCCACCAGAAGCCCCCAGGUAGCAGCUGUGCCCCGCCAGCUACACAGGAAGCCAACACCGCCCCCCUGCAAAUGACCAAUGCAGUCAGCUCUGGGGCAGGGCAGCUGGGCAUUGGCCAAAUGUAACAUCACCCUGCCACCAUUCUUUCCUCCCCCCUCCCCCAGCUGAGGGGAAGACUGGAUCUGGACCCAGAGACCUCCUUAUUCGCAGUGCUUCCCCCAACCCAGUGUGGGCUCUUCUGCCCUGGGAGUGUUAUAUUCAACCUGCUCCACCCCAGAGCUGGCUGCAUCUCUGAGUUAAGCCAUACUGCCUGCCUCCCGGGUAGGUGUUCUAUGCAGCCCUCCCAGCUGCUCCACCCCAGAGCUGGCUGCAUCUUCAGGGGCUAGGGUUCAACACCCCUCUGCCCCAUCCUUCAACUCCUGGUUAGACCUAGUAGAGCUCAUCCUCCCCGACCUGGACACCAGCAGAGGUUUCUCACUGGCCCCCAGCAGGCAGGAAGCAGCCCCGCAGAAGGGAGCAGGGCCUGGGCUCCAACCCAGAGCUGCGCAUGGAGACCAUCCUGCUCUUAUGGUUGGGGGGGGGGGAAGGGUACUAUUAUAUGCAGCUGGUUAUGUGUUGUAUGCAGCUAUAUUCCACUCCCAGAGCUGGCUGAAUUGGGCAGCCUAGCCCAGGAGGGUGUUCUGUAUCUCUGUUCCCCAGCUGCUCCACCCCAGAGCUGGCUGGAUCUUGGAACCAAGGCAUCUCUGCACAGCUGGUCUACCCCAAAGCUGGCUGCAUCUCAGCCCUCCCUGCUCUCUGUUCUAUGCUGCCGUUGCACUCCAGAGCAGCUGCCCCACCCCAGAGCUGGCUGCAAUGCAGGCCUGGACCUAUCCAACCCUGUGGAUGUUCUAUGCAGUUCCCAGAUGCUCCACCACAGAGAUGGCUGCAUCUUGGCCCCAAGAUCUCAGCAGAGCUGCUCCACUCAGAGCAGGAUCUGAUGUGUCUAAAUCACCCUGGCCUCCAGCCAGGGUCUUCUGGGUUGGAUCCUGGCCCCUUCCCCUGAUCCAGCUGUUCUCAGCAUCUCUCCUCCCCAGUCCAGCCCCCUUCCUGGAAACCAGAGGCCCACGUCACCUGCACCAUCCGAGUCCCAACCGAAAGCAAAAGGAAAUGGACCUGUGAGUCUGUGCCACAUCUGAUGCUUACGGUUCCCCCUGAGUGCGGACUCCCUUCUUGCCCCGUCUCGUGGUGGCAGGUCACUGAGCCAGAUGUCGCUGCUGCCCGUAGCCAAGCAGCCAACACCACAGACGCGAUCGGCACAGUGCCGUGCCGAGGACUUCUGGGACAAAAAGCAGCGCAAGUGCAAGAGUUGUGCAAAGCAGUAUGCACGCUACCUGCCCUUGAUCGGCCACGAGUUCAACGUGAACUGUGGGCACCGGGACGGGGGGGGCAGGCACAUGCCCCCAACCCGGCCCUGCCCCGCAGGCACCUCCAAUGAUGGGAGCUUCCUCUGGUGCCAGCCCAGG